CUACCAUUUCCAGUUUUAAAUCUCUUUCUUGAUCAAAUCUAGAACACUGAGCUAAAAUAGAAGUUGCACAAACUGGCCUUCUGACUUUUGUGAAAGUUGUGUCAUCUUCCUCAGGAUUUUCCUCUUGCUUCUCAUAAGCUCAAAAGAAAAUGGUAGCACCUGGAAGGCAGGGACCAUGGCUCAUUCAUCUUGCAUUCCACCAUUGAUCAUUCAGCAGUAUGGCUUUAAACAGGUUUAUGUUGUCCUUCAUCAAAAAUUAUAGAGGAUCGGCAGACUGAGACGCUUUGGGAUUGAAAUGAGGCCAUUCAGAGUUCCUCAUGCGUGGUGGCUGCCUUUUGUUUUGAUCCCUAUCAUUCUUAGUCUGUCUUUUUCAAGAAUAUCCUGGAAGGACUGUCCUGAGUGAGGGCACAAGCGAAAAUGGCAGGCUACUGAGCCACCGGGUGCACACAAUACCUGCUCUUUGAGUAUUUGAAAUCCCUUGGCCGGGAGACAUUUUUCUGAAAACAAAUCUGGAGGGCCUCA
Molecule: long non-coding RNA, 522 nt
Organism: Myotis brandtii (Brandt's bat)
Lineage: Eukaryota; Metazoa; Chordata; Mammalia; Chiroptera; Vespertilionidae
Exons: 4
Source: RefSeq, a predicted model, not a curated record